AAUAGAGACACAGAGACGGUGUUUUGUUAUGUUGCCCAGGCUGGUCUUGAACUCCUGGACUCAAGUGAUCCGCCCGCCUUGAUAUCCCAAAGUACUGGGAUUACAGGUGUGAGCUGCCUCGCCCAGCCAGUAUGUGAAAUAAUAAUAACUUUUAUUGAUUUUUUUCUUAUCUCAAAAGUAAUCCUUUUGCUUGUGUCCCCUGGUGGAAGUCUCUUGCCUCUGGGAGCCAGGAUCCUGGGAGCCGCGGAGCCUAAAGUUGUGGGAUGGAAAGCAGACAUUCCCCAGGCGUGAGCUGAUACAGAGCCAUGGGAGAAACAAUCAGGAGACGCUGGCGUCCGGGCCAUCCUUCUGUGUAGCUGGCCAAGCCCAGUCCUGCUGAUGGGCCAGUGUGUGCCCGUGGCUUGUUGGGUUUCUCAGCCCCUGGCUCAGGGCCGGCAGCCUGCAGGCGGCACGGUCACUGGACACCCCGUGGUUAGUUGCCCGGCCAGGACCAGGCCCCCCAGCACGCCAGGAGCUGCUGUUUUGGAAUUGGAUGUGGUUCCCCGCUGCGGCGUGGCCCUGCUCGGGGACUCCGGUCUUGCCCUGUGCUACGGAACUGCACUGUGCCUGGCCUGACAUCCUACCCAGCACACUCACCCACCGCGGGUGCCUGGAGCGCCACGGGAUCUGCCGGCCAAACGGCCCAAGUGGCAGGAUUCCUUGGACCUGAGCCUCGAGCUGUGGCAGAGUCCUUGCAUCAAGGCGCCACUUGAACCUGGCAUUUUCCAUGCCUGUUGAUGAGUGUGGCAGAGCCGUUUUACCUAACGCAGAAUAAUCUGCUCCUGCAUCUAACACAGCCUACGGAGCCCGGUGCUCCUGUCUUCGUGGUAGAAGAUUCUGUUUUGUUUCAGAAUUUCAUAAUAGUCCCAUUCACAACAGCCAAAAAUAGAAACGACUGAAGCGUCCACCAACAGGGGAAGGACCGAAUUACAAUAUGACCAGAGACUAAACGCCGGCAGCGGUGAAGACGGAUGGAUCGCUGGCAUUCUGCACAGCACGGGGAUGCCGUCCCCACCAAAGGGGUGAAGCCAUGAACCAAUCGGAGCCAAUCAGAGAACUCCAUCUCCCCAACCACAGCAAUGGAUCACAGCCCGGCCGUCGGUCCCUCCGUGAGAUUGGGUAUAUGGGUGUUGGGAAAUGAAAGCAUUUUCUUUCUCUGGAAUUACCAUCUGUAAGGAUGGGAUGGGUCUGGGGAGAGUCUGCCUGCCUGAGAAACGCAACAAUAAAAACAUUCGCGGAGCCCUUGCUGUGUGCCAGGCCCUGCUCUCCAAAGUUUACAAGCAUGGACUCCUGUUGUCCUCACAAUAACCGCAUGGGGACAGAUAGGAGUGAUGUUCAAAACAUUUAAUAACUGGGCUGGGCGUGGUGGCUCACACCUGUAAUCCCAACACUACGGGAAACUGAGGCAGGAGGAAUGCUUGAGGCCAGGAAUUCAAGACCAGCCUGGGCAACAUAGUGAGACCCUGUCUCUAAAAAAAUUAAUAAAUUAGCCGAGCGUGGUGGUGAGCACCUGUAGUUCCAGCUACUCAGGAAGCUGAGGCGGGAGAAUUGCUUGAGCCCAAGAGGUCGAGGCUGCAGUGAGC
Molecule: long non-coding RNA, 1622 nt
Filed under: Homo sapiens (human)
Lineage: Eukaryota; Metazoa; Chordata; Mammalia; Primates; Hominidae
Description: HSALNT0117885
Source: RNAcentral